Molecule: ribosomal RNA, 504 nt
Filed under: uncultured bacterium
Lineage: Bacteria
Description: partial 16S ribosomal RNA
Rfam family: Bacterial small subunit ribosomal RNA
Source: RNAcentral
ACGAACGCUGGCGGCGUGCCUAAUACAUGCAAGUAGAACGCACAGUUUAUACCGUAGCUUGCUACACCAUAGACUGUGAGUUGCGAAUGGGUGAGUAACGCGUAGGUAACCUGCCUGGUAGCGGGGGAUAACUAUUGGAAACGAUAGCUAAUACCGCAUAAUAUUAAUUAUUGCAUGAUAAUUAAUUGAAAGGUGCAAUUGCACCACUACCAGAUGGACCUGCGUUGUAUUAGCUAGUAGGUGAGGUAACGGCUCACCUAGGCGACGAUACAUAGCCGACCUGAGAGGGUGAUCGGCCACACUGGGACUGAGACACGGCCCAGACUCCUACGGGAGGCAGCAGUAGGGAAUCUUCGGCAAUGGACGAAAGUCUGACCGAGCAACGCCGCGUGAGUGAAGAAGGUUUUCGGAUCGUAAAGCUCUGUUGUAAGAGAAGAACGGGUGUGAGAGUGGAAAGUUCACACUGUGACGGUAUCUUACCAGAAAGGGACGGCUAACUACGUG